RNAcentral lists this ribosomal RNA (1014 nucleotides) under Salmonella enterica. RNAcentral's name for it is "partial 23S ribosomal RNA". It matches the Rfam family "Bacterial large subunit ribosomal RNA", at positions 711 to 1722 of the family's 2925-position model. The record is from RNAcentral. Lineage: Bacteria; Pseudomonadati; Pseudomonadota; Gammaproteobacteria; Enterobacterales; Enterobacteriaceae.
AGACCCGAAACCCGGUGAUCUAGCCAUGGGCAGGUUGAAGGUUGGGUAACACUAACUGGAGGACCGAACCGACUAAUGUUGAAAAAUUAGCGGAUGACCUGUGGCUGGGGGUGAAAGGCCAAUCAAACCGGGAGAUAGCUGGUUCUCCCCGAAAGCUAUUUAGGUAGCGCCUCGUGAAUUCAUCUCCGGGGGUAGAGCACUGUUUCGGCUAGGGGGCCAUCCCGGCUUACCAACCCGAUGCAAACUGCGAAUACCGGAGAAUGUUAUCACGGGAGACACACGGCGGGUGCUAACGUCCGUCGUGAAGAGGGAAACAACCCAGACCGCCAGCUAAGGUCCCAAAGUCAUGGUUAAGUGGGAAACGAUGUGGGAAGGCCCAGACAGCCAGGAUGUUGGCUUAGAAGCAGCCAUCAUUUAAAGAAAGCGUAAUAGCUCACUGGUCGAGUCGGCCUGCGCGGAAGAUGUAACGGGGCUAAACCAUGCACCGAAGCUGCGGCAGCGACGCUUAUGCGUUGUUGGGUAGGGGAGCGUUCUGUAAGCCUGUGAAGGUGGCCUGUGAGGGUUGCUGGAGGUAUCAGAAGUGCGAAUGCUGACAUAAGUAACGAUAAAGCGGGUGAAAAGCCCGCUCGCCGGAAGACCAAGGGUUCCUGUCCAACGUUAAUCGGGGCAGGGUGAGUCGACCCCUAAGGCGAGGCCGAAAGGCGUAGUCGAUGGGAAACGGGUUAAUAUUCCCGUACUUGGUGUUACUGCGAAGGGGGGACGGAGAAGGCUAUGUUGGCCGGGCGACGGUUGUCCCGGUUUAAGCGUGUAGGUGUGUGUUCCAGGUAAAUCCGGUUCACUUUAACACUGAGGCGUGACGACGAGGCACUACGGUGCUGAAGCAACAAAUGCCCUGCUUCCAGGAAAAGCCUCUAAGCAUCAGGUAACAUCAAAUCGUACCCCAAACCGACACAGGUGGUCAGGUAGAGAAUACCAAGGCGCUUGAGAGAACUCGGGUGAAGGAACUAGGCAAAA